UAUAGAAAAACCAUAAAAAUACUAAAAAUAAAUCUGAAUUUUUUCACAAUUUUCGAAAAAGCUAUGGAACAUUCACAAAAUUUAAGGUGCGCAAAAUAAACUUGAGAGUAUCACGAUGUUAAUAAUACGGAUAGGAUACAUCGAUCAAUCAUAUUCACCCUUGGUCAAACAACUUCCAUAAUUCUCCUUUCAUUGACCGUAAUCCAUGUUGACAUAAAUUUUUUUCCGGGUCCUUUCAAGUGACGAAAGAUUGCACACAGGAUUAAGAUGACAGAAUAAUAAUCGACGUAAAUGAAGAUUCACGCGGCGCACGUGACUUUCCCAGGGAGAGAGAAACAGAAAGUCCGUGAAAUUGCAAUGGUUAUGUCGCGCGCGCAUACAAGCGCGAUGCGCCGUAAAUUCCGCACAACGUGUCUGCCGGCUUGAAAGCCGAUCCAGUUCGCAACGAGCGACCGCGCUGGUGUCGUCCAUAACACGAGCGAAAUUUUCGUCCUCCCCCCCCGACUUUGACAUUUUUGCCUCGAACGGAUCUAAAUCAGAAUUUGAAAUCAAUCCUGAAAGAAAAUUUUCGCAUUAUUUUUGAAUAAUAUUAAAAUAACAAUUGAUGUUCAAUCGAUAAGUUUAGUUUUUGAUCGAGACGAGAUAAAUAUCGAAGAGUUAAAUAUCUCGUUUCGUUAAAUAAUCGGCGAACGAAAAGACGAUUCGUGCGGUCGAAAAUGUGACGAUGAACAAUACCAGUGAUUUAGGUCAGUGUAGUUCAAGGUGAAAUUGAGUCUAGCCAAGUGUGAGAACCAGUUUUCCCGAGUUUCCCCUCUGUUACGUCGAAACUUCGUAGAUAGGUCGAUAGAUGGUAGUCCGUAAUUUGAAACAUAACGGCUGCGACGAACUUGACGGAAACUUGACGAAACAUGAACGUGAUUUUAAGAUAAAGGCAUUCUUGUUUCUUGAUAUCAUCGAAGUCGUUUCGAAGUCAUUAGAUUUUCAUUAUAGACGGUAUUCCAAGAAAUACAGUCGUUUCGAGUUGAUAAGACGUCAUCAAUCAAACGAUGAUAUGCUAGGUCAGUGUUGAAAUUGAAUUCGUACAGGAUCAAAGACCGUUGGGAAUGCGUUUCCCUCCAGACAGAACACCGCCACGAACACUAAUAUGGGCUUCGUUACCGAUGGACAACCACGACAAACACUUGUUGCUAGAGACGUGUGUCGAACGAAUGACUGCUGCCGUUGCUCUCCAACAUUGUUUUCUGGUGGAAUUGUUGCGCUCGUGAGACAAAAUCGACUGUUCUACUUGUAAAAUAUCGAAAUUUAUCUUAGAUACCGUUGUUCCCACGCGAAUAGAAUGAAUUCAAUUUUUUAAAUCGAAUCGUUCUGAAUGAGAAUUAUCCGUGUAUUGUAAAACCAUUUUUUAAACGAAGAAUUUCAUUUAUAGGUUAUAAGUGAAUUAAAAAUUUUUUAUUAUUAUUGUGAUGUGAAACAAUCGUGUAAUAUGAAGUUUCAUAAAUAUUCCUAAUAAGGUUAUGGUGACGUAUCAUUCAUUAGGAGUGUUACAACACAGUUCAUUUUACGAAGGCGUUUGUUAACUGGCAUAUAUUCAGAGCGUUCUUCGUGGCGCUAACGAAACAUAAGAAAAAAGAAAGAAAGAAAGAAAGAAAUAAAUAAGAGAAAUAAAUAAGAUUGUUUAUAUCUAUUGAUCUUCGAUUCUUCUUUUUUAACGUUUUAUCAUUCUCCGAAGAGAGGCCAAUAUAAUCGUAAAAUGAAACGUAUACAGCUACUACUCACACCCCAGAAAAUACUCGACCACACGAAGAUUCGACGAUUUUCCUGCCUUCCCGGAUAAUCCGAAUUUGCAACGACGUUUGCACGAAGGACGGUCGUGGAUCUUCGUAUCUUUGGGAAAGUAAAAAAAUUGUGAGAGAAUUAUAUUUCGUGAAUUAAAAAAAGAAA
This is a long non-coding RNA of Apis florea (little honeybee), 1941 nucleotides long. The record is from RefSeq and is a predicted model, not a curated record. Lineage: Eukaryota; Metazoa; Arthropoda; Insecta; Hymenoptera; Apidae.